This 28-nucleotide small RNA is filed under the name Bombyx mori (domestic silkworm). RNAcentral describes it as "ovarian small RNA-16759". The record is from RNAcentral. Lineage: Eukaryota; Metazoa; Arthropoda; Insecta; Lepidoptera; Bombycidae.
GCGAAAUUCAGAUAUAUGAUCAUAUUUC